ACUCCAACCAUGUGAACCAUACCAAACUGUUGCCUCGGNGGGGUCACGCCCCGGGUGNUNCGCANCCCCGGAACCAGGCGCCCGCCGGAGGGACCAACCAAACUCUUUUCUGUAGUCCCCUCGCGGACGUUAUUUCUUACAGCUCUGAGCAAAAAUUCAAAAUGAAUCAAAACUUUCAACAACGGAUCUCUUGGUUCUGGCAUCGAUGAAGAACGCAGCGAAAUGCGAUAAGUAAUGUGAAUUGCAGAAUUCAGUGAAUCAUCGAAUCUUUGAACGCACAUUGCGCCCGCCAGUAUUCUGGCGGGCAUGCCUGUCCGAGCGUCAUUUCAACCCUCGAACCCCUCCGGGGGGUCGGCGUUGGGGAUCGGGAACCCCUAAGACGGGAUCCCGGCCCCGAAAUACAGUGGCGGUCUCGCCGCAGCCUCUCCUGCGCAGUAGUUUGCACAACUCGCACCGGGAGCGCGGCGCGUCCACGUCCGUNAAACACCCAA
Molecule: ribosomal RNA, 491 nt
Filed under: Trichoderma sp. AH-Group-10
Lineage: Eukaryota; Fungi; Ascomycota; Sordariomycetes; Hypocreales; Hypocreaceae
Description: eukaryotic LSU rRNA
Rfam family: 5.8S ribosomal RNA (bases 171-324)
Source: RNAcentral